Molecule: ribosomal RNA, 120 nt
Filed under: uncultured bacterium
Lineage: Bacteria
Description: partial 16S ribosomal RNA
Rfam family: Bacterial small subunit ribosomal RNA
Source: RNAcentral
GCGCUAUCAGAUGAGCCUGCGUCCGAUUAGCUAGUUGGUAGGGUAAUGGCCUACCAAGGCGACGAUCGGUAGCUGGUCUGAGAGGACGGCCAGCCACACUGGGACUGAGACACGGCCCAG